RNA transcript from Leptopilina boulardi, 1702 nucleotides. It is a transcript of the gene named vesicle transport protein SEC20, with no coding region annotated. Lineage: Eukaryota; Metazoa; Arthropoda; Insecta; Hymenoptera; Figitidae. The transcript has 6 exons. The record is from RefSeq and is a predicted model, not a curated record.
AUGAUAAAAUUUUGACAUGUGACGUUUGCAUAAAAGUUAAACAUAUUUUUUUAAGUAUAAAAAUGAAUACGGAUAAUUAUGAAAUUGAAACUAUUCGACAGGAAAUUGUCAAAAAUCAUUUAGAAGUGACAGCUUUAAUUCAGGAUAUACAGCAAUGUACAGGACCUCUAGAAUUUCUAAACGAAUUGAACGCUGAGGGAAGAGGGAAAAUUGCCUCUUUGAGAUCUAGUAUUGAUAGGCUUGUCAAUGCCACAGAAUUAGAAAUCAAUGAGAAGAAAAAAUCGGAAUUACUCGUGGAAAUAGAAAAUCAUCGAGCACAAAUGUCAACGACAAUGAAAGCUUUUAGAAAAGCGAAUGUCAUUAGUUCAUGUGUAAUCGAUAAAAUGUCAAGGGACGAUUUAUUAGCAUCGUCAGAGGAACAACAGGAUUUUUUACGAAAAAGAAGAGAUAAAAAAUCUCUCGUCGACACCUCUUCUCAAGUGACUGAUAAACUUUCAAGUAUUUCGAGACAACUGGCUGAAACGACUCAGAGAAGCGCCGAUACUCUGGAAUCCCUGAUUACUUCUUCGGAAAAAGUCACUGGCACCGAAAGAGAAUUAGUCGAUCAGAGACAAGUAAUUGUUCAGUCUGGAAAACUUUUAGGAAAAUAUGGUCGACGAGAAAUUACAGAUAAAAUUUUAUUGGCCCUUGCUUUUGCAUUUUUUCUCGCCUGUGUUGGAUACAUUUUACAAAAAAGACUUAGCUGGUUAUGAAUUCUUCUCUGGAUAUGACUCCAUCUUUGUCAAGAUCCAUUUUUUCGAAAAUGCGAUUUACAUGCCUGUCAACAGCGCGCUCAAUCGAUCGGGUGUUUUCCACAACUUCAUAAAUGGCACUUACAAUAGACAUCAUCUCGUUACGUGUUAUGUGUCCAUCACCAUUUAAAUCGUACAAUCUAAUUAACAAUCUAAUUAUCAACGAAGCGAGCCGUGAAUUUAAUCAUUGGACCGUGAAGAAAGUAAUAAAUUUUGCAAAUACUGCGGGUUUGGUGUUCAGAAAGUGUGAAGUUGGAAAGGACAAAAACAAUUCAAAAUAUGAAAUAGUAUAAUGACGUAGUAAAUGCUCAAUGAUGUAACGUCCUUUAUUUAACAAGACAAGAGUAAACUUGCACGCAAACUUUAAUGAUUUCUUGUCCGUGAUAUUAUACUCUCAUCUUACGAGUUCUACUUUUAGUUCCACGUGCGAGGCGAUUCAUUGAUACAUAUUUGAUUCAGUAAAGUGAGCAUUUCCACAAUGGAUGUUGAGAAAAAAUUAACGAGUUUCAAUAAAAGUCUUCAUUAAACUUUUCGAAGACUAAUAAAAGAUUGCUGGUAGUUGAAAACGUCCCUUUGUGAUUACUGUGACGUAAAAUGAAGACAAUUUUUGUCUUUUUACUCUUGAUUGUUGGCGGUUUGAGUGCACCUUGGCUUGAUUUAUUGUUUGGAGAACCAUAUUACAGAAGUGAAGGAAGACAUCGACAGGGUAAAAGUGGCGGUGAACGUUGGAAAGAAAUUUGUCGAACAAUUAAUCCCGAUGGUUUUGCAUAUCCAGGUCGAGUUCCAUAUCCUGCAGCACCAGUUUGUCCCUGGUAGGGAAAAUAAUUUUUAAGUAUCGAAUAUUUUAUAAAAUUAAAAAUUUCGAGCUUUUGUAAUAUUAAUUUUUUUUUAUUAAAUUCUAUUUCUUGUUA